Molecule: small nuclear RNA, 160 nt
Organism: Cuculus canorus (common cuckoo)
Lineage: Eukaryota; Metazoa; Chordata; Aves; Cuculiformes; Cuculidae
Rfam family: U1 spliceosomal RNA
About the family: U1 is a small nuclear RNA (snRNA) component of the spliceosome (involved in pre-mRNA splicing). Its 5' end forms complementary base pairs with the 5' splice junction, thus defining the 5' donor site of an intron.
Source: Rfam
UUACUUACCCAGCAAGGGAGACACCACGAUCACGCAGGCAGUUUUCCCAGGGUGAGGCUCAUCCCUUGCACUUCAGGUGUGCUGACCCCUGCAAUUUCUCCAAAUGCAGGAAACUCGAAUGCAUAUUUUGUGGUAGUGGGGGGCCGCAUUCGCACUCAAU